Molecule: ribosomal RNA, 253 nt
Filed under: uncultured bacterium
Lineage: Bacteria
Description: partial 16S ribosomal RNA
Rfam family: Bacterial small subunit ribosomal RNA
Source: RNAcentral
GACAGAGGGUGCAAACGUUGUUCGGAAUUACUGGGCGUAAAGCGCGUGUAGGCGGCUGGGCAAGUCGGAUGUGAAAGCCCUGGGCUUAACCUAGGAAGUGCAUUCGAAACUGCCGAGCUGGAGUCCCGGAGAGGAGGGUGGAAUUCCUGGUGUAGCGGUGAAAUGCGUAGAUAUCAGGAGGAACACCGGUGGCGAAGGCGGCCCUCUGGACGGUGACUGACGCUGAGACGCGAAAGCGUGGGGAGCAAACAGG